Molecule: long non-coding RNA, 934 nt
Organism: Sardina pilchardus (European sardine)
Lineage: Eukaryota; Metazoa; Chordata; Actinopteri; Clupeiformes; Clupeidae
Exons: 6
Source: RefSeq, a predicted model, not a curated record
AAACGGUGCACGUACGUACUUCCGUUUAGGAGUCAGGGGGUCAUGGUGACCGUUUGGAUAUAAUGGAAAAGCAGCGAAAACGGCUUCUAAAUCGUUGAACAAACAUGAAUAAAAGGCACAAAAUAAGGAAGUCGACGGUGAGGGCCCAGAAGCCUAUACAGUACAUCCUUGUGGUGCCAGCCGUUCUGCUGUCAAGCCAUAGCUAGCAAUCGAUACAAAAUCUGCCACUUGCCGCAGCAGAGGGAGGUGAUUUGUCUAGUUCCGGGGAAAGACAGUGUGCAACAGACUGUGUGAUACCGCAGAGGAUGGGCCGAUCUUCUACCCACGCCGCUUUGGCUCUGUCUUGGCAUGCCUGCGUCAGCUGGACGGAGCGCUCCUACGUCAGAGCUCAAGGUCGCAGCAGUCUCUAACCUCACGCGCGCCACCGCCGCCGCAGUGGGGGGAAUCACAAUCAUUUCCUUGGCCCCACCUCGCCGACGUCAUGGCAACCUUCAUUUAUUUACCAUCCCUUUGUCUCGUCAAUAAUGUAGAGCUGUGGCAAUAAGCAACGGCUCAGGAAGUUUAGGAGUUGUCCAGAAACUGUGAAGGUUCCUGGUUCGAGCUCAACUCCUCCUGAUCCUGUUGAAGUGUCCUGGAGCCAGGCACUUAACUUCAGUGCUCCCGAUGAGCAGUCCAUUUACCAUUGAUGGCACAGCUGCGGAGAUGGUUCAUACCUUUAAAUAUCUGGAGGUGCACCUCUCCAACACUCUCACCUGAGAGGACAGCAUCAAGAGUGUCAUCAAAAAGGCUCACCAACGGCUGUAUCUCUUAAGGAAGCUGAAGAGGGCAGGUCUGAGUACCAUCAUCCUCAACUCCUUUUGCAGGUGUGUGGCGGAGAGCAUACUGACAUCAUGCAUCACUGUGUGGUACUGCAGCUGCCCGCUGGCAGAGAAGC